CUACGGGAGGCUGCAGUGAGGAAUAUUGGUCAGUGGGGGCAACCCUGAACCAGCGACGCCGCGUGAAGGAUGACAGGGCUUUGCCCCGUAAACUUCUGUCGGGAGGGAAAAAAGGACUGUUUGGCGGUCUGGGAUUGUACCUCUAAAGGAAGCACCGGCUAACUACGUGCCAGCAGCCGCGGUAAUACGUAGGGUGCAAACGUUGUCCGGAAUUACUGGGUGUAAAGGGUGCACAGGCGGUUUUGUGCGUCAGAGGUAAAAUCCCACAGCUCAACUGUGGACCUGCCUUUGAUACGGCGAGACUUGAGUACAAGAGAGGAUGAUAGAAUUCCUGGUGUAGCGGUGAAAUGCGUAGAUAUCAGGAGGAAUACCAGUGGCGAAGGCGGUCAUCUGGCUUGUAACUGACGCUUAAGCACGAAAGCAUGGGUAGCGAACAGGGUUAGAUACCCCAGUAGUC
Molecule: ribosomal RNA, 457 nt
Filed under: uncultured bacterium
Lineage: Bacteria
Description: partial 16S ribosomal RNA
Rfam family: Bacterial small subunit ribosomal RNA
Source: RNAcentral